This 206-nucleotide ribosomal RNA is filed under the name Salmonella enterica. RNAcentral's name for it is "partial 23S ribosomal RNA". It matches the Rfam family "Bacterial large subunit ribosomal RNA", at positions 1 to 198 of the family's 2925-position model. The record is from RNAcentral. Lineage: Bacteria; Pseudomonadati; Pseudomonadota; Gammaproteobacteria; Enterobacterales; Enterobacteriaceae.
GGGUUGUGAGGUUAAGCGACUAAGCGUACACGGUGGAUGCCCUGGCAGUCAGAGGCGAUGAAGGGCGUGCUAAUCUGCGAUAAGCGCCGGUAAGGUGAUAUGAACCGUUAUAACCGGCGAUACCCGAAUGGGGAAACCCAGUGUGAUUCGUCACACUAUCAUUACGUGAAUACAUAGCGUAAUGAAGCGAACCGGGGGAACUGAAA